This 253-nucleotide ribosomal RNA is filed under the name uncultured bacterium. RNAcentral's name for it is "partial 16S ribosomal RNA". It matches the Rfam family "Bacterial small subunit ribosomal RNA", at positions 524 to 776 of the family's 1533-position model. The record is from RNAcentral.
UACGAAGGGGGCUAGCGUUGUUCGGAAUUACUGGGCGUAAAGCGCGCGCAGGCGGUUUUACAAGUCAGUGGUGAAAGCCCGGAGCUCAACUCCGGAAAUGCCAUUGAAACUGCAAAACUUGAGUACGAGAGAGGUGAGUGGAAUUCCCAGUGUAGAGGUGAAAUUCGUAGAUAUUCGCAAGAACACCAGUGGCGAAGGCGGCUCACUGGCUCGGUACUGACGCUGAGGCUCGAAAUCGUGGGGAGCAAACAGG